UGUACAUCAGAAAAGGGUAUUUAUAACUAAAAUAGCACCUCACAUUAAGAUCAGUCAACUGCUAUUAAACUAACAUAUUAGGGGUUAUUAUGUAAAAUUGAUCCAAGCAAAGGCAUGAAAUCCACAUCUCUCGCAGCCUCAUACUUCAAUCCAUGUACUCAGUUGUUGGCUUGUCGUCGUUUUGCAGGCACCCACAAUCCCGUCAGCAAAUCGUAAGAGGGAGAAAAUAAACAAAUCAAAUAACAGAGAAAUUCCUCGGAUUGAUACAAUGUUGUAUUGAUAGUGCAAAGCGUCAACUUGGAAUUUACCUUGUGUGUCUUGUCUCCCAUGCCGGCUCUGCUGACUAAGAUUUUACAAUGAAAGAGCAGAAAAAUGGUCUUAGUUGCGCACACAAAAACAUUUAUUGGGUGAAAGAACUUUGUAUUGGUGCGGUAAUCCACUUCUGAGCCCGGGCUCAGCUGCACCUGCCCUGACGAAAAAAAUCAAAACAAAUACUAGAAAAAUUCCAUUAAAAAAUUACGUGGUAGAUAAUUUGAUGCACGAGGUUCCCUCCAAUUUCCCAACUAUUUGGAAAUCCGAGUAGCUCUCGGCAAAAAAAGACAAAUUCGGGGUCUGCAAAAAUGUUUAGUGUUCACGCACUAUUUUGACCCGAUUUGUUGUUUUUGCUGAGAGCUGCUCACAUGUCCAAAUGAUCUAAAAAUUGGAGCAAACCUCACGCAUCAAAUUAUUUACCACACAAAAAUUGGAAUUUUUCGAAUUUUUUAUUAUUUGUUUUGAUUUUUUUGACCGGGUACAGAUGAGUCUGGGCACCGAAACGCCGCACUCGUAUUGGUGAGUAUGGUUACAUCUAAUAAAUAAUAUCUUCUUAAGAACCAACAUCAUAUUUCUACAUAGAAAAGUCAAAAAGUAGAAGAUGCUAAAAGUUGCAAACAACAUCUUUCUUCAUUCAUUUUCUUCAUUGGUUAACUUCCAUUCUUUCUUAUUUUCUUUAUAUUUCAAAAUAGUCUAAUUAAUAUACUUCAGAACUUAAUUUAUGUAAAAUUUCAAAAAAUUCACCGUGCAUAAAAAAAUGUAAUACAUUGUGAAAAUUUGAUCAUGCAAUUUAGGAAAUGUUUGUACUGAUUUGAAGAAUUUUUGUUGUUGUUUGAUUUAUUUGUUUUCUUCCUCUUACGGUUCGUGUGUCUUAAAAAAUGUUUGUGAUAUUUUUAAAUAUGUUUAUAAACUUAAAAUAAAAGCUCAUAUAAAUUUAAUAAAAAAGUGCAUAAUUCCAUUAAAAAACCAAGCUCGUUAAUGAUAUAAAAAAAUGUACACGUGUCUCAAAACAUUGUUCAUGAAAUUUUUACAAAUGUUCAUUUAAUGAAAAAAUGUUCACUUAAGUAUAAAAGAUGUUUAACACCAUUAGAAAAGUGUACAUGACAUUUAAAAAUAUUUCACAUUCAUAAAAAAAAUUUAGUGUCAUUUUUAGAAAAAAUAUCCAAAUAAUGUGAACAAUGUUUGGGGUAAUAUAUAUAAAAUGUUUCGUACCAUUCACAAAAAUGUUGAACGUGUAUUUGAUAAUAUUCAACAUUUUAUGUAAAGAAGCAUUUAAACAUAUAUUUCAAAAUAAUAUUCAUCAUGUAUUUGAAAAAUGUUCAACGCAUAACAAAAAAUGUUACACAUGUAUACACAAAAUGUACAACGUGUAUUGAGAAAAGUUGACAUUUAUUUGAAAGUAAGGUAAAAGAAUAAUUUGGUAAAAUAAAAAAUGGAUUAAGGAACAUAGGAAAAAUAUUAGAAAAAAUACCGCAUUGAAGUUCUUAAAACUGGUCCAAACCUGUCUAAAGAAUUUUCCCGAAUUCACUGUAUGGGCCGGCCCUGCACUGUAGAUCAUGUAGGGGUUUAGGAAGAUUCCUAUAGUCUGGUUCGUACCGACCUUAGAACCUUCCUUAUUGUUGUUUCUAUGUGUUUUUUAUCGGUGUUUCAUUUGGUUUUUUUCUUCACUAUCUUUUUCAACAUAUGUCUACUCUUCAAUAGUCAAUACACACUGUAUAUUUUUAGUAUGCAUGCGAAACAUUUUUUUACAAAGUUGAAAGUUUUUUAAAUACAUGCUUUAAACAUUGCGAAUAUAUGUUAAACAUUUGUCAAUACAUGGUGAACAUUUUUAACGGCGUUAAACAUUUAUUUAAAUUAUGCGAACAUUGCUUUAUCUUAUAUAUACUUAAAUGUGAGAGCUNNNNNNNNNNNNNNNNNNNNNNNNNNNNNNNNNNNNNNNNNNNNNNNNNNNNNNNNNNNNNNNNNNNNNNNNNNNNNNNNNNNNNNNNNNNNNNNNNNNNNNNNNNNNNNNNNNNNNNNNNNNNNNNNNNNNNNNNNNNNNNNNNNNNNNNNNNNNNGCUAUUGGUAGGUAUCAUAUCCAUGUACCUCUUAUCAAGAGGGCAAUUAAAGUGUCAUUCAUAUUCAUGUACAUCAGAAAAGGGUAUUUAUAACUAAAAUAGCACCUCACAUUAAGAUCAGUCAACUGCUAUUAAACUACUCUCUCCGUUUGGAAUUACUUGUCGCAGAAAUGGAUGCAUCUAGAUAUAUUUUAGUUCUAGAUACAUUCAUUUCCGAGACAAGUAAUUCUGAACGGAGGGAGUAACAUAUUAGGGGUUAUUAUGUAAAAUUGAUCCAAGCAAAGGCAUGAAAUCCACAUCUCUCGCAGCCUCAUACUUCAAUCCAUGUACUCAGUUGUUGGCUUGUCGUUGUUUUGCAGGCACCCACAAUCCCGUCAGCAAAUCGUAAGAGGGAGAAAAUAAAUAAAUCAAACAAUAGAAAAAUUCCUCGGAUUGAUACAAUGUUGUAUUGAUAGCGCAAAGCGUCAACUUGGAAUUUACCUUGUGUGUCUUGUCUCCCAUGCCGGCUCUGCUGACUAAGAUUUUACAAUGAAAGAGCAGAAAAAUGGUCUUAGUUGCGCACACAAAAACAUUUAUUGGGUGAAAGAACUUUGUAUUGGUGCGGUAAUCCACUUCUGAGCCCGGGCUCAGCUGCACCUGCCCUGACGAAAACAAUUCAAAACAAAUACUAGAAAAAUUCCAUUCAAAAAAAAUGUGUGGUAGAUAAUUUGAUGCACGAGGUUCCCUCCAAUUUCCCAACUAUUUGAAAAUCUGAGUAGCUCUCGGCAAAAAAGACAAAUUCAGGGUCUGUAAAAAUGUUUAGUGUUCACGCACUGUUCUGACAUGAUUUGUUGUUUUUGCUGAGAGCUGCUCACACAUCCAAAUGAUCUAAAAAUUGGAGCGAACCUUACGCAUCAAAUUAUUUACCACACAAAAAAUGAUUUUUUUAUUAUUUGUUUUGAUUUUUUUGACCAGGUGCAGAUGAGCCUGGUCACCGAAACGCCGCACUCGCAUUGGUGAGUAUAGUUACAUCUGAUAAACAGUAUCGUCUUAAGAACCAACAUCACAUUUCUACGUAGAAAAGUGAAAAGGUAGAAGAUGCUAAAAAUUGCAAAAAACAACAUCUUUCUUCAUACAUGUUUUUCGUUGGUUAACUUCCAUUCUUUCUUAUUUUCUUUAUAUUUCUACAUAGUUUAAUUAAUAUACUUCAGAACUUAAUUUAUGAAAAAUUUCAAAAAAUUAACUGUGCAUAAAAAAUGUUAAUACGUUGUGAAAAUUUGAUUAUGCAAUUUAGGAAAUGUUUGUACUGAUUUGAAGAAUUUUUGUUGUUGUUUGAUUUAUUAGUUUUCUUCCUCUUACGGUUCGUGUGUCUUAAAAAAUGUUUGUGAUAUUUUUAAAUAUGUUUAUAAACUUAAAAUAAAAGCUCAUAUAAAUUUAAUAAAAAAAGUGCAUAAUGCCAUUAAAAAACCAAGCUCGUGAAUGAUAUAAAAAAAUGUACACGUGUCUCAAAACAUUGUUCAUGAAAUUUUUACAAAUGUUUAUUUAAUGAAAAAAUGUUCACUUAAGUAUAAAA
This 3921-nucleotide long non-coding RNA is filed under the name Triticum aestivum (bread wheat). RNAcentral describes it as "long non-coding RNA (TAES_LNC025971)". The stretch from base 2503 to 2617 matches the Rfam family "MIR1120/MIR1122 microRNA precursor family". Lineage: Eukaryota; Viridiplantae; Streptophyta; Magnoliopsida; Poales; Poaceae. The record is from RNAcentral.